Molecule: ribosomal RNA, 216 nt
Filed under: uncultured bacterium
Lineage: Bacteria
Description: partial 16S ribosomal RNA
Rfam family: Bacterial small subunit ribosomal RNA
Source: RNAcentral
UGGGAAUCUGCCCUUAGGUACGGAAUAACUCAGGGAAACUUGAGCUAAUACCGUAUGAUGACUUCGGUCCAAAGAUUUAUCGCCUAUGGCUGAGCCCGCGUCGGAUUAGCUAGUUGGUGAGGUAAAGGCUCACCAAGGCGACGAUCCGUAGCUGGUCUGAGAGGAUGAUCAGCCACACUGGGACUGAGACACGGCUCAGACUCCUACGGGAGGCAG